GUAGUACGGCGAGUGAAGAGGGAAGAGCUCAAAUUUGAAAGCUGGUACCUUCGGUAUCCGCGUUGUAACCUCGAGACACGUUUUCCGUGCGGCGCUAUGGACAAGUUCCUUGGAACAGGACAUCGUAGAGGGUGAAAAUCCCGUACUUGCCAUGGAUGUACCGUGCUUUGCGAUACGUGCUCUAAGAGUCGAGUUGUUUGGGAUUGCAGCUCAAAAUGGGUGGUAGACUCCAUCUAAAGCUAAAUAUCGGGGAGAGACCGAUAGCGAACAAGUACCGUGAGGGAAAGAUGAAAAGCACUUUGGAAAGAGAGUUAAAAGUACGUGAAAUUGUCGAAAGGGAAGCGCUUGAAGUCAGCCAUGCCGCUCAGGACUCAGCCUGGCUUUUGCUUGGUGUAUUUCCUGGGUAGCAAGUCAGCAUUGGUUUGGAUCGUCGGAGAAGCAUAGUCGGAAUGUGGCGCCCUCGGGCGUGUUAUAGCCUUCUAUUGGAUACGACGAUCUAGACCAAGGAACGCAGCGCGCCUUAUGGCGGGUCUUCGGACACCUUCGCGCUUAGGAUGCUGGCGUAAUGGCUUUAAGUGGCCCGUCUGAAA
RNAcentral lists this ribosomal RNA (590 nucleotides) under Malassezia furfur. Its description in RNAcentral is "eukaryotic LSU rRNA". It matches the Rfam family "Eukaryotic large subunit ribosomal RNA", at positions 80 to 658 of the family's 3401-position model. Lineage: Eukaryota; Fungi; Basidiomycota; Malasseziomycetes; Malasseziales; Malasseziaceae. The record is from RNAcentral.